RNAcentral lists this ribosomal RNA (440 nucleotides) under uncultured bacterium. RNAcentral's name for it is "partial 16S ribosomal RNA". It matches the Rfam family "Bacterial small subunit ribosomal RNA", at positions 338 to 795 of the family's 1533-position model. The record is from RNAcentral.
CCUACGGGAGGCAGCAGUAGGGAAUAUUGCUCAAUGGGGGAAACCCUGAAGCAGCAACGCCGCGUGGAGGAUGAUGGUUUUCGGAUUGUAAACUCCUUUUGUUAGAGAAGAUAAUGACGGUAUCUAACGAAUAAGCACCGGCUAACUCCGUGCCAGCAGCCGCGGUAAUACGGAGGGUGCAAGCGUUACUCGGAAUCACUGGGCGUAAAGAGCGCGUAGGCGGGAUAGCAAGUCAGAUGUGAAAUCCUAUGGCUUAACCAUAGAACGGCAUUUGAAACUGGUAUUCUAGAGUGUGGGAGAGGUAGGUGGAAUGCUUGGUGUAGGGGUAAAAUCCGUAGAGAUCAAGAGGAAUACUCAUUGCGAAGGCGACCUGCUAGAGCAUAACUGACGCUGAUGCGCGAAAGCGUGGGGAGCAAACAGGAUUAGAUACCCCGGUAGUC